ACCGAGGUGGUGAAAUUGGUAAACACGCUACCUUGAGGUGGUAGUACCCUGUUAUUUUGGGUUUACGGGUUCAAGUCCCGUCUUCGGUACCA
This 92-nucleotide transfer RNA is filed under the name Enterobacteriaceae endosymbiont of Donacia dentata. RNAcentral's name for it is "tRNA-Leu". It matches the Rfam family "tRNA". Rfam says of the family: Transfer RNA (tRNA) molecules are approximately 80 nucleotides in length. Their secondary structure includes four short double-helical elements and three loops (D, anti-codon, and T loops). Lineage: Bacteria; Pseudomonadati; Pseudomonadota; Gammaproteobacteria; Enterobacterales; Enterobacteriaceae. The record is from RNAcentral.